GACGAACGCUGGCGGCGUGCUUAACACAUGCAAGUCGAACGCUGAAGACCUGGCUUUUGUUGGGUUGGAUAAGUGGCGAACGGGUGAGUAACACGUGAGUAACCUGCCCUCUUCUUUGGGAUAACGCCCGGAAACGGGUGCUAAUACUGGAUAUUCACUGAUCUUCGCAUGGGGGUUGGUGGAAAGGUUUGUUCUGGUGGGGGAUGGGCUCGCGGCCUAUCAGCUUGUUGGUGGGGUGAUGGCCUACCAAGGCUUUGACGGGUAGCCGGCCUGAGAGGGUGACCGGUCACAUUGGGACUGAGAUACGGCCCAGACUCCUACGGGAGGCAGCAGUGGGGAAUAUUGCACAAUGGGCGAAAGCCUGAUGCAGCGACGCCGCGUGAGGGAUGGAGGCCUUCGGGUUGUAAACCUCUUUCGCUCAUGGUCAAGCCGCAACUGUGGGUUGUGGUGAGGGUAGUGGGUAAAGAAGCGCCGGCUAACUACGUG
This 486-nucleotide ribosomal RNA is filed under the name uncultured bacterium. RNAcentral's name for it is "partial 16S ribosomal RNA". It matches the Rfam family "Bacterial small subunit ribosomal RNA", at positions 28 to 507 of the family's 1533-position model. The record is from RNAcentral.